This 774-nucleotide ribosomal RNA is filed under the name uncultured Neocallimastigales. RNAcentral describes it as "partial large subunit ribosomal RNA". It matches the Rfam family "Eukaryotic large subunit ribosomal RNA", at positions 22 to 644 of the family's 3401-position model. Lineage: Eukaryota; Fungi; Neocallimastigomycota; Neocallimastigomycetes; Neocallimastigales. The record is from RNAcentral.
GUACACGCUGUGACUAGCAUAUCAAUAAGCGGAGGAAAAGAAACUAACAAGGAUUCCCCUAGUAACGGCGAGUGAAGCGGGAAGAGCUCAAAUUUGAAAUCUUAAAGGGUUUCCCUUUACGAAUUGUAGUUUAAAGAAGUGUUUUCUGUUGAGGUUUUGGUAAAAGUUCUUUGGAAUAGGACAUCAUAGAGGGUGAGAAUCCCGUAUUUGACCUUUACUUUCAACUUUGUGAUACACUUUCAAAGAGUCGGAUUGUUUGGGAAUGCAGUCCAAAAUGGGUGGUAAAUUUCAUCUAAAGCUAAAUAUUGGCGAGAGACCGAUAGCGAACAAGUACCGUGAGGGAAAGAUGAAAAGAACUUUGAAAAGAGAGUUAAACAGUACGUGAAAUUGUCAAAAGGGAAGCGUUUGACACCAGUGUUGUUUUUCUGAAAAUCAAUUAAAGAACUGUUUAUGCUAAGCUGUUUAGACUUUAUCAGCUAUACUGUUUAGUUUUGAGCUUUUCUUUAAUGCACUUUUCAGUUAACAAGUCAACAUCAAUUUCUUUUGCUGUAAAAAGCUUGAGGAAGGUGGCUUGAGAUUCGUCUUAAGUGUUUAUAGCCUCUUGCCUAUGCAGUCGGAGAGAUUGAGGUCUGCAGCGUAGAUCCUUCGGGGCUAAAUGCAUUUGUGCUAAGUUAUAGCAUUUUAUAGACAACUUGUUGACUAUGAUUUGUCUUGUAGCUUACUCGCUUAUGUUAUUUUACCUACGCUUAGGAUGUUGACUGAUAUGUAGUCGUA